Molecule: ribosomal RNA, 914 nt
Filed under: uncultured archaeon
Lineage: Archaea
Description: bacterial SSU rRNA
Rfam family: Archaeal small subunit ribosomal RNA
Source: RNAcentral
UCUGGUUGAUCCUGCCAGAGGUUACUGCUAUCGAGGUUCGACUAAGCCAUGCGAGUCGAAUGUAACAAUACAUGGCGAACUGCUCAGUAACACGUGGACAACCUGCCCUUAGGUUGGGUAUAAACCCGGGAAACUGGGUAUAAUACCCGAUAGGUCUCGAUUGCUGGAAUGCAUCGAGAUUUAAAGCUCCGGCGCCUAAGGAUGGGUCUGCGGCCUAUCAGGUAGUAGUGGGUGUAGCGUACCUACUAGCCUACGACGGGUACGGGUUGUGAGAGCAAGAGCCCGGAGAUGGAUUCUGAGACACGAAUCCAGGCCCUACGGGGUGCAGCAGGCGCGAAAACUUUACAAUGCUGGCAACAGCGAUAAGGGAACCUCGAGUGCCAGGUUACAAAUCUGGCUGUCGAGAUGCCUAAAAAGCAUUUCAUAGCAAGGGCCGGGCAAGACCGGUGCCAGCCGCCGCGGUAACACCGGCGGCUCGAGUGGUAACCGUUAUUAUUGGGUCUAAAGGGUCUGUAGCCGGCCGGAUAAGUCUCUUGAGAAAUCUGGCAGCUUAACUGUCAGGCUUUCAGGAGAUACUGUCUGGCUCGAGGCCGGGAGAGGUGAGAGGUACUUCAGGGGUAGGGGUGAAAUCUUGUAAUCCUUGAAGGACCACCAGUGGCGAAGGCGUCUCACCAGAACGGACCUGACGGCAAGGGACGAAAGCUAGGGGCACGAACCGGAUUAGAUACCCGGGUAGUCCUAGCCGUAAACGAUACUCGCUAGGUGUCGGCCACGGUGCGACCGUUGUCGGUGCCGUAGGGAAGCCGUGAAGCGAGCCACCUGGAAGUACGGCCGCAAGGCUGAAACUUAAAGGAAUUGGCGGGGGAGCACCACAACGGGUGGAGCUUGCGGUUUAAUUGGAUUCAACGCCCGGA